RNAcentral lists this ribosomal RNA (465 nucleotides) under uncultured bacterium. RNAcentral describes it as "partial 16S ribosomal RNA". It matches the Rfam family "Bacterial small subunit ribosomal RNA", at positions 28 to 506 of the family's 1533-position model. The record is from RNAcentral.
GACGAACGCUGGCGGCGCGCCUAACACAUGCAAGUCGAACGAGCGAGAGAGAGCUUGCUUUCUCGAGCGAGUGGCGAACGGGUGAGUAACGCGUGAGGAACCUGCCUCAAAGAGGGGGACAACAGUUGGAAACGACUGCUAAUACCGCAUAAGCCCACGACCCGGCAUCGGGUAGAGGGAAAAGGAGCAAUCCGCUUUGAGAUGGCCUCGCGUCCGAUUAGCUAGUUGGUGAGGUAACGGCCCACCAAGGCGACGAUCGGGAGCCGGACGGAGAGGUUGAACGGCCGCAUUGGGACUGGGACACGGCCCAGACUCCUACGGGAGGCAGCAGUGGGGAAUAAUGCACAAUGGGGGAAACCCUGAUGCAGCGACGCCGCGUGGAGGAAGAAGGUCUUCGGAUUGUAAACUCCUGUUGUUGAGGAAGAUAAUGACGGUACUCAACAAGGAAGUGACGGCUAACUACGU